AUUGAACGCUGGCGGCAUGCCUUACACAUGCAAGUCGAACGGUAACAGGUCUUCGGAUGCUGACGAGUGGCGAACGGGUGAGUAAUACAUCGGAACGUGCCCAGACGUGGGGGAUAACGAGGCGAAAGCUUUGCUAAUACCGCAUACGAUCUAAGGAUGAAAGCAGGGGACCGCAAGGCCUUGUGCGUUUGGAGCGGCCGAUGGCAGAUUAGGUAGUUGGUGGGAUAAAAGCUUACCAAGCCGACGAUCUGUAGCUGGUCUGAGAGGACGACCAGCCACACUGGGACUGAGACACGGCCCAGACUCCUACGGGAGGCAGCAGUGGGGAAUUUUGGACAAUGGGCGAAAGCCUGAUCCAGCAAUGCCGCGUGCAGGAUGAAGGCCUUCGGGUUGUAAACUGCUUUUGUACGGAACGAAAAGGCUCUGGCUAAUACCUGGGGCACAUGACGGUACCGUAAGAAUAAGCACCAGCUAACUACGUG
RNAcentral lists this ribosomal RNA (482 nucleotides) under uncultured bacterium. RNAcentral's name for it is "partial 16S ribosomal RNA". It matches the Rfam family "Bacterial small subunit ribosomal RNA", at positions 30 to 507 of the family's 1533-position model. The record is from RNAcentral.